GCAUGCACUUUUCAGCCUUAACAUACACGCUAUGUUGCCUUUCAACCAUUAAUGUAUAGAAUGUGCAUUGUAGAAGAUUUGUUUUUGGCCGAUUUUAAUGGCCUAAUGUUUGAUAAUGUGUUCCGUUUUGGCUUUUACAGAUUUAUUGACCAGAUGUCCUGGAAGUGCCCCCUGAUGUAGACCCAGUUGUUGGGUAGCCACCCACGCACGUUGACACAGCCCCCAGCAGUGGGCACCCAUGGGGAUGGACCCAGGAGUGGAGGAUGACCCAAUAGGUGGUGGGUAGCCACCCAUGCACGUUGACACAGCCAGCAGCGAGUACCCAGGGCGAUGGACCCAGAAGUGGAGGAUGAUCCAAUAGGUGUGAGGAAAAGACGCAUACUAGAGGGAGUCGAGGACUUGGCUGGCCUACAAAAUGUCACUAAGGGAUGCAACUGAC
This is a long non-coding RNA of Engraulis encrasicolus (European anchovy), 439 nucleotides long. RefSeq lists it as uncharacterized. The record is from RefSeq and is a predicted model, not a curated record. Lineage: Eukaryota; Metazoa; Chordata; Actinopteri; Clupeiformes; Engraulidae. The transcript is spliced from 5 exons.